Molecule: ribosomal RNA, 460 nt
Filed under: uncultured bacterium
Lineage: Bacteria
Description: partial 16S ribosomal RNA
Rfam family: Bacterial small subunit ribosomal RNA
Source: RNAcentral
CCUACGGGAGGCUGCAGUGAGGAAUAUUGGUCAAUGGACGAGAGUCUGAACCAGCCAAGUAGCGUGAAGGAUGACUGCCCUAUGGGUUGUAAACUUCUUUUAUAAAGGAAUAAAACGAGGCACGUGUGCCUUUUUGCAUGUACUUUAUGAAUAAGGAACGGCUAACUCCGUGCCAGCAGCCGCGGUAAUAAGGAGGAUCCGAGCGUUAUCCGGAUUUAUUGGGUUUAAAGGGAGCGGAGAUGGGUUGUUAAGUCAGGUGUGAAAGUUUUCGGCUCAACCGUAAAAUUGCAAUUGAUACUGGCAGUCGUGAGUACAGUUGAGGUAGGCGGAAUUCGUGGUGUAGCGGUGAAAUGCGUAGAUAUCACGAAGAACCCCGAUUGCGAAGGCAGCUUACUAAACUGUGACUGACAUUGAUGCUCGAAAGUGUGGGUAUCAAACAGGAUUAGAUACCCGGGUAGGC